Micropterus dolomieu (smallmouth bass) is the source of this 829-nucleotide long non-coding RNA. RefSeq lists it as uncharacterized. NCBI's taxonomy places the organism in Eukaryota, Metazoa, Chordata, Actinopteri, Centrarchiformes, Centrarchidae. The transcript has 2 exons. The record is from RefSeq and is a predicted model, not a curated record.
GUUAGAGAAUCUUCCUGAUUAAAACAUGCUGGGUGACAUCCAACCUCCAGAGAGUCGUAGGCUGCAUUUGGUUCCACAUUAGCAUGUGUCUUCCCCUCAGUGAUGAAAUUUGUGAUGUUCAAGAAGUGAGUAAUGGUCUUCAGCAAGGCGACACAGGCCAAGGUAGACCCAGAACAUGUCGGAGGGAUUACACAUCCCAGGGAACAUCUUGGGAACUACCAAGAGGAGCUGAAGGACGUGGCUAGAGAGGAAUGUUUGGGCAAUCAUGAUCUGUGUAACUAGCAUGUGUGUGUUGUCUCCGGCCGUUAUCGCAUCGCUGUGUGGCCACUGAGGAUAAAGCAGCGGGGCUCCAGGUCUGACAGGCUCCGAGGGAAUCACCUGUCAGCAGGCAGACUCAUGUCAUCGGACAGAAGCUGCUCUCCUGGAAGAAGGAAGAGAAGAAGUCACUUGUGUGAAAAAUGACAUCACGUUUUCCACAUCGUAUUUGAUUGAUAGCUCUAUCAACUGUUUCUCUCGAUGAACCGACUCUUAAUAGAACAAUAGUGGAUGAAAAUACAGAUUUCCUUUUGCACAUUUUCUGGAAAUUUGGUUAAAACUUGCACUGAAUUUUGAUGGGACCUUGACAGAUGUUGGGUUUCUGGUCUGCAAGUUUCCUGUUUUGGUUUAUUCAGCUGUUUACAGCAAAAACAAAGCUAUACACUACCAAGUUCAAUGCAUGUAACAAGGUGCAAGAUGAGUCUAAUAUAGUCUUAAUGUGAAUCUGUGUCAGAUUGUAUUAUAUCAAUUUUGAGACUUGUCAGAAGGUGUAAUAAAUACCAGGUGAAUCGAA